UUUCUCUAUUUGGCAGAAUGCUAAAAGAAGAACAGAAGGAAACACAAUCAUCGAAGGAGUCAAGGGAUACUGCUCACAGGUGUAUCUUGUUUUUAUGCACAAGCUUAUUACAAAACAAUACAUUUUUGACCUAGAAUUAUGUUUAUCAGUACAGUAAGAAUUAACAAUUUACCUUUCUGGUUUUUGUCAAGGAUGACGAAACACUGCAAGGGAAUUUCUCUGUACAGUGUGCACAGGGAGAGCCGGUAUCAAGAGAUUUAUGCAAGUCAAGAGACUUUCUCCAAGGAAUUGAUGGCAUUAUUGACCUGACAUCUCCUGUUGCACACACGACGACCACUUGGGACAAUGCAAAAACUUGUUACUCACCAAUGGAUUUCUCCAACAUUGCUGCCCCUGAAAGUUCAUCACAACAUCACAAGAAGUUUUACUCCAAAGCUGCAAUAAUUGGGAAGAGGUUGUUUCAAGAUAACUACAAUGAAUAUGCUGAACAGUACGACACUAGAGAGCAACCAAUUCCAAUCACCGAUGGGCUAGCGUAAGUGGGUUGUGAUCAUUGAUAGAACAAUGUUAUCACUAGGACAGCUAGGCGACUCUUUCGAUGCAAAUGGUCAUGUAGAAGCCUAUGUUAUCAAUGUCUUCUGCCGCAUACUAUUCAGAAAUAACCACCCAAGACAGUCAAAGAAGCAUUACUUCUUCAGCACAGUCUCUGAGUACUUUCUUGAGAAGUGGGGAAACGAGGGAGCAAGGUUGGCUAUGAGGAAUAGAGCACUUAUUACCUUUGAUGGAGCAGGAAAAGCUCUCGCCCUACAUGAAAGCGACCGUGUAUGUAUUCCCCCUCACCAUCCCCUUUUUUGUUUUAUGGUUUUCUGUGCAUUACAUGUGUUCAAUUGCUUUUCAUUUUUCUUACAAACUGUCACUAAAAAUG
Non-coding RNA from Triticum urartu, 925 nucleotides. NCBI's taxonomy places the organism in Eukaryota, Viridiplantae, Streptophyta, Magnoliopsida, Poales, Poaceae. The record is from RefSeq and is a predicted model, not a curated record.